Molecule: long non-coding RNA, 1704 nt
Filed under: Homo sapiens (human)
Lineage: Eukaryota; Metazoa; Chordata; Mammalia; Primates; Hominidae
Description: HSALNT0383316
Source: RNAcentral
UUCAAGCCAGGGAUGGCUUCAAUCCUGGAGGCCGCGCUGUCAGUUCCGGUCGGAGUCUGUGGCCUGGAGUGAGCACUAAUGGUUCUUUUUCCAGGCCCGCCCAUGGCCACCCAUGGACCAAUCAGCAUGCACUUCCUCCCUUCUGAACCCAUAAAAACCCCGCUCCCCGGACGCAGCCGGAGUCACGCGAAGUCGGAAGUACCAGCUGCGGGAAGGAGCUGCCCACUGUGCGUCUUCUCAACUUGUUGGGACAACCUUCCUGCGGAAAGGAGAGACAACCUUCCUGCAGAAAGGAGCUACCUGCUUCAGGUCUACUGAGAGCUGUUCUGCCACUCAAUAAAGCUCUUCUCCAUCUUGCUAAGCCUCCAUUUGUCCGCAAUACCUCAUCUCCCUGGACGCAGGACAAGAACUCAGGACCCGCCUGGAGGUGCCCACAGCAGAAUCCACAUGCCGUCCAUCUGGUCCAGCCUCACGCAGAGCCACAACUGUGCUGGCGCCUGGAGCUGCCAGCCCCACUGCAGCAGCCGGACUGACAUUCAGACGUGGAGCAAGUUGGACUGCAUAGGGACCCACCAGUGAGAUGGACGCUGUCUGUAAACGACUUUCACUGAAUGUGCUAAGAAGAGAAACCCCUCUGCAGACACACACAGACGUUCUGCAGUUUCCCAAUCUCUGGUGCAGUUCUGGCCUUUUGGGGCUUUAAGGGCUUUGGCUAAGGUAAGAAGAAUCUGUCAUUUCUUCCCAAGGCUCAGAAUGGGCAAUUAUAAUUGUUCUUGACAAGUUUAAACAGGCCAAAGGAGCUUUUCUCAGAUUUGGGGAAUUCCUAAAUGAUUUUUUAAUACAAAUCUUUUUUUUUUAAUGAUAGAACAUUAUACUCACAGUUCUUGUUUUUUAGGGCUCUGUUUGCAUUGGGUAUUUUUCCUAUUUUGAAUAUCCAAAGCUGGAAAGUUUGAGGUUUGUUUUCUGCCAGGGCACUCUGAGUAGAACUUGAAAGUUUGGCUUGAGAGACCUAACAUAGCUUUGAUAGUGUUCACCCAGUUAUUCUAUAAACGAAUAUUUCAAAAAGAGGAUUUCGAGAUCCCUCAAAUGUCGAGUCACCAGAUAAAAUACAUGAUGCCCAGUACGAUUUGAAUUACAGAUAAACAACAAAUAAUUUUUAGUAUUAAUGUAAGUAUGACUCAUGUCAAUUGGGAUAUACUUAUGCUAGAAAAUUGUUGUUUAUCUAUAUUUUUUAUUUGCUAAAUUCUGCAAACUUAUCCAAGUGUUUAUAAUUAACUACGCUGGUGAAAACACCAAAUAAUGAAUGUGUCCUAAUAUUUCCUGAGGACUAUAUUAAUAUAAUUUCAUGUAAUCUUUCUAACAAUACUAUGAUACACACAUAAUCAAUUCUAUGUAACAGAAAAGAGAAUUGAGCUUCAGGGAGUUUUAAAAUUUGGCCCAAAUCACACUAUUGGUGAGUGGCAGAUCUGUGAGUUAAAGACAGGUCAUCUGAUUGCAAAACCCACCUUCAUUCCAACUCGCCUAAGGUGUUUAAAAUGUGUUAGGAACACUGAGCAGCCCUUGCUUCCCCAUGAAGCAAGCAAAUACCUAGAAAGCUGACCUGAAGUGCCUGGGGCCCACAUUUCAGGUUCACAGUGUAAUUAUAGUGCUUGGCAUUCAGUGCAGACACACACAUCAUCAUUCUAAUUAAGCAACUGUCUUAAU